This 495-nucleotide ribosomal RNA is filed under the name uncultured bacterium. RNAcentral describes it as "partial 16S ribosomal RNA". It matches the Rfam family "Bacterial small subunit ribosomal RNA", at positions 28 to 507 of the family's 1533-position model. The record is from RNAcentral.
GACGAACGCUGGCGGCGUGCCUAAUACAUGCAAGUAGAACGCUGAAGGAGGAGCUUGCUUCUCCGGAUGAGUUGCGAACGGGUGAGUAACGCGUAGGUAACCUGCCUGGUAGCGGGGGAUAACUAUUGGAAACGAUAGCUAAUACCGCAUAACAGUAGAUGUUGCAUGACAUUUGCUUAAAAGGUGCAAUUGCAUCACUACCAGAUGGACCUGCGUUGUAUUAGCUAGUUGGUGAGGUAACGGCUCACCAAGGCGACGAUACAUAGCCGACCUGAGAGGGUGAUCGGCCACACUGGGACUGAGACACGGCCCAGACUCCUACGGGAGGCAGCAGUAGGGAAUCUUCGGCAAUGGACGGAAGUCUGACCGAGCAACGCCGCGUGAGUGAAGAAGGUUUUCGGAUCGUAAAGCUCUGUUGUAAGAGAAGAACGAGUGUGAGAGUGGAAAGUUCACACUGUGACGGUAUCUAACCAGAAAGGGACGGCUAACUACGUG